CUUCUUGCUACACCCUCACGACUAAUGACAGUUCUUACUCUUUUAAGGACUCUCAUUAGCCGCGCGAGUCACUGCAGCGGAAGAAGUUCAAACUUUAGAAACGAAUAUGACGUCUGUUAAUUCGGUUUUCUAGAAGAAAAGGGGCCCGAUUAGGCCCCUUUUC
Molecule: small RNA, 163 nt
Filed under: Xenorhabdus koppenhoeferi
Lineage: Bacteria; Pseudomonadati; Pseudomonadota; Gammaproteobacteria; Enterobacterales; Morganellaceae
Description: SraG RNA
Rfam family: SraG RNA
About the family: This RNA was discovered in E. coli during a large scale screen. Evidence was found for specific cleavage of this RNA.
Source: Rfam by way of RNAcentral